GGCGAAAGCCUGAUCCAGCAAUGCCGCGUGUGUGAAGAAGGCCUUCGGGUUGUAAAGCACUUUUGUCCGGAAAGAAAUCCGCCUGGCUAAUACCCGGGCGGGAUGACGGUACCGGAAGAAUAAGCACCGGCUAACUACGUGCCAGCAGCCGCGGUAAUACGUAGGGUGCGAGCGUUAAUCGGAAUUACUGGGCGUAAAGCGUGCGCAGGCGGUUAUGCAAGACAGGUGUGAAAUCCCCGGGCUCAACCUGGGAACUGCACUUGUGACUGCAUGACUAGAGUGCGUCAGAGGGAGGUGGAAUUCCGCGUGUAGCAGUGAAAUGCGUAGAGAUGCGGAGGAACACCGAUGGCGAAGGCAGCCUCCUGGGAUGACACUGACGCUCAUGCACGAAAGCGUGGGGAGCAAACAGGAUUAGAUACCCUGGUAGUCCACGCCCUAAACGAUGUCAACUAGUUGUCGGGGAUUCAUUUCCUUGGUAACGCAGCUAACGCGUGAAGUUGACC
This 503-nucleotide ribosomal RNA is filed under the name uncultured bacterium. RNAcentral describes it as "bacterial SSU rRNA". It matches the Rfam family "Bacterial small subunit ribosomal RNA", at positions 374 to 870 of the family's 1533-position model. The record is from RNAcentral.